GUAAUUUAUUUAGUUCUGGUUAUGGAAGAAACACUAGGCACUAAUCACAUAAGAGGUUUAUAUUCAGUAGUGUAGAAAGAGAUGUUACAUUAUUAGUGAUGGGUUCUUGUUUUUGGGGUAACUCAGAAUAGGGUGUUCUUGUGGGAAAUGGUUAAUUCUCAGUGCCAGCCUCCGCGGUUAAUCUGUAGUUUCGUUCUUCUUAUCAGUUGAAAUUUUUUAGAAGUGAAUAUGUGAAGAUAGAGGUAGAAUUUUCUUUGUUUGGUAUAGAGCUUUUAAGAUGUUUUAAAAUUUCUUUUAUAAAAGAGGAUUAGAUACCCUCGUAUAGGAGAGGAAAAAUUUUGGUGUCUGUAGUGUGAACUAAAAGAAUUUGGCAGCCGACGAAGUUCGUCCGGGGGAGUGUGUUCUUUAAAAAGACGGUCCGCUUAAUAGUUUACCUCUUUAUAUGGUUAGUGUAUAUCCGGUUAAAGAUCCGUAAUUAGUGUUACGGGUGUAGGUAGUUGGAUACUUAAUCCAGGUCUUUGUGCUGCUGAUGAAGGGGGUAGUUAAUGCGCUACGUUAUUAAAAGAUUUUAAUGUAAAUUUUGAGAUGUAUUUAGGACUCGGUAGUAGGUAGGGUUUAGUAUGCCUUUUCGAAGAGGAUUUAGUUGGGGUACACACCGCCCGUCACUCAGGGCGUCAGCUCUGAUAAGUCGUAACAUGGUAACGUUGGGGGAACCGGACGUUAGUAAAUUCAUUGUAUAUUAAGUGAGUUU
This 751-nucleotide non-coding RNA is filed under the name Calicophoron microbothrioides. The record is from RNAcentral. Lineage: Eukaryota; Metazoa; Platyhelminthes; Trematoda; Plagiorchiida; Paramphistomidae.